GGAUCCAGACUUUGAUCAUGGCUCAGGAUGAACGCUAGCGGCAGGCUUAACACAUGCAAGUCGAGGGGCAGCGCGGGGCAGCAAUGUUCUGGCGGCGACCGGCGGAAGGGUGCGUAACGCGUGAGCGACAUGCCCGUUGCCCGGGGACAACCGGUGGAAACGCCGACUAAUCCCCGAUGGGACGGAGGCCCUCAUGGGUCUCCGUUGAAAGUUACGGCGGCGACGGAUUGGCUCGCGUCCGAUUAGCUUGUUGGCGGGGUAACGGCCCACCAAGGCUACGAUCGGUAGGGGUUCUGAGAGGAAGGUCCCCCACAAUGGAACUGAGACACGGUCCAUACUCCUACGGGAGGCAGCAGUGAGGAAUAUUGGUCAAUGGGCGGAAGCCUGAACCAGCCAUGCCGCGUGCGGGAAGGAGGCCCUAUGGGCUGUGAACCGCUUUUGCCUGGGGGCAAUAAGGGCGUCGUGCACGUCCGAUGAGAGUACCAGGCGAAUAAGCAUCGGCUAACUCCGUGCCAGCAGCCGCGGUAAUACGGGGGAUGCGAGCGUUAUCCGGAUUCAUUGGGUUUAAAGGGUGCGUAGGCUGUGCGUCAAGUCAGGGGUGAAAUUCCGGGGCUCAACUCCGGGGCUGCCCUUGAUACUGUCGCGCUGGAGUGCGGAUGCCGCCGGAGGAAUGAGUGGUGUAGCGGUGAAAUGCUUAGAUAUCACUCAGAACACCGAUUGCGAAGGCAUCUGGCGAAUCCGUAACUGACGCUGAGGCACGAAAGCGUGGGGAUAGAACAGGAUUAGAUACCCUGGUAUUCCACGCCGUAAACGAUGAUGGCUAACCGCCGGCGACACACUGUCGGUGGCCAAGCGAAAGCGAUAAGCCAU
RNAcentral lists this ribosomal RNA (870 nucleotides) under uncultured Bacteroidota bacterium. RNAcentral describes it as "bacterial SSU rRNA". It matches the Rfam family "Bacterial small subunit ribosomal RNA", at positions 1 to 868 of the family's 1533-position model. Lineage: Bacteria; Pseudomonadati; Bacteroidota. The record is from RNAcentral.